Orcinus orca (killer whale) is the source of this 349-nucleotide long non-coding RNA. RefSeq lists it as uncharacterized. The record is from RefSeq and is a predicted model, not a curated record. The transcript is spliced from 3 exons. Lineage: Eukaryota; Metazoa; Chordata; Mammalia; Artiodactyla; Delphinidae.
CAUCCGGCUCCACAUCACCUGCCAAUCAAGGAGUCAAUUCACUAGUCAUUCAAGGAGAGAGGCACAAUCAGCCACUAAUGACAGCCAGAUGGCACCUGCCUUUCAUGAACUGUGUUCCGAAGUCAGAGUCUACCUGGGACUAGGCUCGGUGUUCUAUCCCCAGAUCACCUCGGGAAGGCACGCUGUUGGGAGAGCCUGUUGGACUGGCUGGCCAGCGACCACCGCAGGACUGCCUGGCACGUGGCACAGAGCUUGUAAAGAGCCUUUCAGAAGGAGACAACAGAUUUGAUCAUCAUAUUGAAAAAAAAGGUGACAACAGGGGGAAAUGGUGGUGUUUCCCCAUCCUGAC